AGGCAUGCAAAGAAUCUGCAGGGGAGUUGUAAGUGGGUGGGGGUGGUGAAGAAUCUAAAAGAGUCUGUAACGAGAUACUGAAGCUUUCCAGGAGUGAGUGUGUGUGCGAGCGAGGGAGACAGACAGCCAGAGGAAGAAAGGGGGCAGUGUGGUCUAGUACAUUUCAUCUGGUCGUUGAUUCGAGCCUGAUGCUUGCUGUCCCUCAACAGCCUCCCUUGCCUGAUUUUUUUCUUCUCCCCCCCCCUCUCCUUUUGCCUUCUACUUCGCCGAAGCCUAGGGGAGCCAGUAAAGAUUAAAUGUGCUUUCUAAAAGGCAGCCACUUCAUGCAGCUAUGUCUGCUUCCCCUCACUACCACCGCCACUAACCCCCCUUUUAAAUAAAAUAAGAGCGAGACCGAGGAGGAGGAGGAGGAGGAAUAUAGUUUAAUGAUGCCGGGACUGGCUGAUCCAGAUGGAAAAACGGAGAAAAGAGCCGAGAUCCCGGGCGAGGAAGACCCUGGUGAAUGGUCGGAGACUCCAGAGGCUGGAACCUUCCCCACUUCCAAAUGAGACAGCACCGUCACGUGGAUUGAGUGGAAGACUGGGCGUCGG
This 590-nucleotide long non-coding RNA is filed under the name Gopherus agassizii (Agassiz's desert tortoise). RNAcentral's name for it is "lncRNA (ENSGAGG00000020392.1)". Lineage: Eukaryota; Metazoa; Chordata; Testudines; Testudinidae. The record is from RNAcentral.